UGACGACCGGCGCACGGGUGCGUAACGCGUAUAGAACCUACCUUUUACAGGGGAAUAGCCCAGAGAAAUUUGGAUUAAUGCCCCAUAGUAUUAUAGAAUGGCAUCAUUUUAUAAUUAAACAUUUAUGGGUAAAAGAUGGCUAUGCGUUCUAUUAGCUAGAUGGUAAGGUAACGGCUUACCAUGGCAACGAUAGAUAGGGGUCCUGAGAGGGAGAUCCCCCACACUGGUACUGAGACAGGGACCAGACUCC
This 250-nucleotide ribosomal RNA is filed under the name uncultured Lutibacter sp. RNAcentral describes it as "partial 16S ribosomal RNA". It matches the Rfam family "Bacterial small subunit ribosomal RNA", at positions 89 to 339 of the family's 1533-position model. Lineage: Bacteria; Pseudomonadati; Bacteroidota; Flavobacteriia; Flavobacteriales; Flavobacteriaceae. The record is from RNAcentral.